AUUGAACGCUGGCGGCAGGCCUAACACAUGCAAGUCGAACGAGUGGCGGACGGGUGAGUAAUGUCUGGGAAACUGCCUGAUGGAGGGGGAAAACUACUGGAAACGGUAGCUAAUACCGCAUACCAUCAGAUGGGCCCAGAUGGGAUUAGCUAGUAGGUGGGGUAAAGGCGCACCUAGGCGACGAUCCAUAGCUGGUAUCAUAGGAUGACAAGCCACACGGGAACUGCGACACGGUCCAGAAUCCUACGUGAGGCAGCAGUGGGGAAUAUUGCACAAUGGGCGCAAGCCUGAUGCAGCCCUGCCGCGUGUAUGACGAAGGCCUUCGGGUUGUAAAGUACUUUCAGCGGGGCGGCGUUACCCGCAGAAGAAGCACCGGCUAACUCCGUGCCAGCAGCCGCGGUAAUUC
RNAcentral lists this ribosomal RNA (406 nucleotides) under uncultured bacterium. RNAcentral describes it as "partial 16S ribosomal RNA". It matches the Rfam family "Bacterial small subunit ribosomal RNA", at positions 30 to 526 of the family's 1533-position model. The record is from RNAcentral.